Molecule: ribosomal RNA, 546 nt
Filed under: uncultured archaeon
Lineage: Archaea
Description: bacterial SSU rRNA
Rfam family: Archaeal small subunit ribosomal RNA
Source: RNAcentral
CAGCAGGCGCGAAAACUUUACAAUGCUGGCAACAGCGAUAAGGGGACCUCGAGUGCCAGGAUACAAUCUUGGCUGUCGUGAUGCCUAAAAAGCAUUACAUAGCAAGGGCCGGGCAAGACCGGUGCCAGCCGCCGCGGUAACACCGGCGGCUCGAGUGGUAACCGCUAUUAUUGGGUCUAAAGGGUCUGUAGCCGGCCGGAUAAGUCUCUUGGGAAAUCCAGCAGCUCAACUGUUGGGCUUCCAGGGGAUACUGUUCGGCUCGAGGCCGGGAGAGGUGAGAGGUACUUCAGGGGUAGGGGUGAAAUCUUGUAAUCCUUGAAGGACCACCAGUGGCGAAGGCGUCUCACCAGAACGGUCCUGACGGCAAGGGACGAAAGCUAGGGGCACGAACCGGAUUAGAUACCCGGGUAGUCCUAGCCGUAAACGAUACUCGCUAGGUGUCAGCCACGGUGCGACCGUGGUUGGUGCCGUAGGGAAGCCGUGAAGCGAGCCACCUGGGAAGUACGGCCGCAAGGCUGAAACUUAAAGGAAUUGGCGGGGGAGCAC